This 252-nucleotide ribosomal RNA is filed under the name uncultured bacterium. Its description in RNAcentral is "partial 16S ribosomal RNA". It matches the Rfam family "Bacterial small subunit ribosomal RNA", at positions 524 to 776 of the family's 1533-position model. The record is from RNAcentral.
UACGUAGGGGGCAAGCGUUGUCCGGAAUCAUUGGGCGUAAAGCGCGUGUAGGCGGCUGAGUAAGUCUGCUCUGAAAGCCCGGGGCUCAACCCCGGGAGGCGGGUGGAUACUGCUCAGCUCGAGUCCGGAAGAGGAGUGUGGAAUUCCUGGUGUAGCGGUGAAAUGCGCAGAUAUCAGGAGGAACACCAAUGGCGAAGGCAGCACUCUGGGACGGUACUGACGCUGAGACGCGAAAGCGUGGGAGCAAACAGG